AGGGAAUCUUCCGCAAUGGACGAAAGUCUGACGGAGCAACGCCUCGCUCAGGAUGAACGCUUUCGGCGUGUAAAAUACAUGCGUUAGGAACGAACAAAUUAGAAGCUAACUGCUCGUACCUUGACCGGCGGUAGGGUGAAAGCCACGGCUAACUACGUGC
Molecule: ribosomal RNA, 160 nt
Filed under: Bacillus sp. (in: firmicutes)
Lineage: Bacteria; Bacillati; Bacillota; Bacilli; Caryophanales; Bacillaceae
Description: Bacillus sp. (in: Bacteria) partial 16S ribosomal RNA
Source: RNAcentral